AUUUUACUCCCCAGACUGUGAAGAGACAGGGAGUAAAAGAGGCAGAGCAAAGCACGCGGGGGGGGGGGGGGGGGGAGAGAGGGGGGAAGAGAGAGAGAGAGAGAGAGGGAGAGAGAGAGAGAGAGACAGAGGCAGAGACACAGACACAGACACAGACAGAAAGCCUGAGAGAAGGUGGACGGACCCAGCAGCCGCAGCCCAGCUCCUCCCGGACCGGGCACCCUGCCGACGGCCCUGACUCCCCGGGCCACCCCAGUUUGGAGGACUCUAACCUUGAUUUUCCAGCUUUGAGCUCCCUCUGGAAGCGGAACAGACUGACUCCAUCAACGGCGAUUUCCAUGUUUAGACUCAUGUCUGUUUGAAGCAUUUAGGUUUCCCAAUCUGCAUUUCUC
This 392-nucleotide long non-coding RNA is filed under the name Lonchura striata (white-rumped munia). RNAcentral describes it as "domestica (Bengalese finch) lncRNA (ENSLSDG00000017089.1)". Lineage: Eukaryota; Metazoa; Chordata; Aves; Passeriformes; Estrildidae. The record is from RNAcentral.